UCCAACUCCCCUCCUCCCCCAGCACAAGGCAAAGGGCACCCCUUGCUGUGAGUUUGGGGGCACCGGCUGUCGGGGGCCGACCCAGAACUUUGCGGGGUCCCCUGAGGGACCCGUGGCGGGACCGGCCCCGGGUUCGUCAAAUUCCGCCGAUGCUUUCAGGAGGCUGAUUAAACAAAGGACAAGAUUGGAGUGGGAAAUGAGAGGCUCUUAAAAGUGGAAGCUUUUUGUUUGUCCAUUUACAAGAAAUUGGACAAUGAAUCACUUCAGGAAGAUGGAGGUCAUCAACCUCACCACCCUACCUGUGAUACCAGUGGAUGAGCACCUGGCUGUCUCGCUUGUCGCACGGAAUACAAUGGUGAAGACUGUGAGGAAGGAGUUAGAGAACAGUCCACCCUCAUGCCUUAUUGGCUCCAUGCACCAGGUGAACCAAAAGAUUGCUGACAUAAAUCUGCGUACCGAGCCGUCGGCCAACAGCCUGGCAUUUGAGAGUUUUGAGUUGGAGAAGAAGGCUUUAAGAGAGAAAACUCGCAGCAGUCCAGAAGACAAAGGCAAAAACCUUUCCCUUAGCCUUGAUGCUCUUUUCAUGGGUCAAGAGACAAAGGAAAUCUCAGUAUUCCUGCAAAGGCUCCGAACUCAGAC
RNAcentral lists this small RNA (639 nucleotides) under Pan troglodytes (chimpanzee). Its description in RNAcentral is "retained intron". Lineage: Eukaryota; Metazoa; Chordata; Mammalia; Primates; Hominidae. The record is from RNAcentral.